GAGUCGAGUGGUUCCGAGGGCGCACGGAGUCCGACAUAUUCUGAUCGUCUUCCAAAUGUUGAGCCCGAGUCGCCAAGUGCUGCUCUUGAGGGGGGCGAGGUUUGAAGGGAGGGACGCGCCGAGACAGAAAACGUGCAGCAUUAUUCCCGCAGAUCCCUGCUUGUGAAGGGCGCCCUGCGAGCGCACUGCGCCUCUGAAGGUUGAAGAAGCAAAAGAGACAUCCACGAUGAUGAUGAAAGUGGUAGCACUCAGCUUUCUCAUCACUGCAGCUAUGUCUGCCCCAUUAAUAGGUA
This is a long non-coding RNA of Cololabis saira (Pacific saury), 293 nucleotides long. RefSeq lists it as uncharacterized. The record is from RefSeq and is a predicted model, not a curated record. NCBI's taxonomy places the organism in Eukaryota, Metazoa, Chordata, Actinopteri, Beloniformes, Belonidae. The transcript is spliced from 3 exons.